RNAcentral lists this ribosomal RNA (685 nucleotides) under uncultured Bacilli bacterium. RNAcentral's name for it is "bacterial SSU rRNA". It matches the Rfam family "Bacterial small subunit ribosomal RNA", at positions 68 to 733 of the family's 1533-position model. Lineage: Bacteria; Bacillati; Bacillota; Bacilli. The record is from RNAcentral.
UUUCACCGGAGCUUGCUCCACCGAAAGAAAAAGAGUGGCGAACGGGUGAGUAACACGUGGGUAACCUGCCCAUCAGAAGGGGAUAACACUUGGAAACAGGUGCUAAUACCGUAUAACACUAUUUUCCGCAUGGAAGAAAGUUGAAAGGCGCUUUUGCGUCACUGAUGGAUGGACCCGCGGUGCAUUAGCUAGUUGGUGAGGUAACGGCUCACCAAGGCAACGAUGCAUAGCCGACCUGAGAGGGUGAUCGGCCACACUGGGACUGAGACACGGCCCAGACUCCUACGGGAGGCAGCAGUAGGGAAUCUUCGGCAAUGGACGAAAGUCUGACCGAGCAACGCCGCGUGAGUGAAGAAGGUUUUCGGAUCGUAAAACUCUGUUGUUAGAGAAGAACAAGGAUGAGAGUAAAAUGUUCAUCCCUUGACGGUAUCUAACCAGAAAGCCACGGCUAACUACGUGCCAGCAGCCGCGGUAAUACGUAGGUGGCAAGCGUUGUCCGGAUUUAUUGGGCGUAAAGCGAGCGCAGGCGGUUUCUUAAGUCUGAUGUGAAAGCCCCCGGCUCAACCGGGGAGGGUCAUUGGAAACUGGGAGACUUGAGUGCAGAAGAGGAGAGUGGAAUUCCAUGUGUAGCGGUGAAAUGCGUAGAUAUAUGGAGGAACACCAGUGGCGAAGGCGGCUCUCUGGU